This 63-nucleotide transfer RNA is filed under the name Brachystomella parvula. RNAcentral's name for it is "tRNA-Asn". The record is from RNAcentral. Lineage: Eukaryota; Metazoa; Arthropoda; Collembola; Poduromorpha; Brachystomellidae.
UUGAUUGAACCUAAUUAAGGAUAUUACUGUUAAUAAUAAAUAGGGUAACUAACCCCAUUCAAA